CAGUCCGUGAAGAAGCUUAGUUUUAAAUCCCUAAAGCGCGCGCUCGAUCUCUUCUCUCCAAUUCACGACCAGCUAGCUCCUUCCGAUCCCGAAAGUAAAAAUAUUCGCUUGAGCCACAAGAUAAAUGCUGAGUACAAAGGAAUUAAAAGCUCAAAUGAACUUCCAAGACCAGUUAUUUCUACUACAACCGAUCGUGGCAAUCAAUCUUCAGUGCCUUCGAAUGUUCUCGCUCUUCCAGGGCCUGAUGAUUCUAGGGACUCGCAGAAGGGUGCGGCUCAAAAUGCAUUGGUUGUUGGUCCAUCUGUGCAACCGAAGGGACCGUGAGUGCUCUUCAUCCUUCCCUACCUUAUAUUCCUCCAUGCAUUUUUUCUUAGGAAGAUUUUGUGGAUAGUGAUGUUUCAUCUUAUUAUCAUUACCUUUUUCACAUCUCUCACUGCCUAUUCUUUUUUCAUUCAUCUCUGCUAUCGUUAUUGUUUUCUAGAGAAAACUUUUGCUAUUGAUGCUAGUUACUUUUAUGGUUCUUUUUUCAGAAAUGACCUUGGGCCACAGGGCAAAAGCACUGCAGUGAUUUCUGGUCUUGGAUCAUCUGAAAGGUUCUCUACAUCUGCUAUAAUGGAAAGGAUCCCAAGCAAAUGGCCACGUCCUGUGUGGCAUCCUCCAUGGAAGAACUACAGGGUCAUAAGUGGCCAUUUGGGAUGGGUGAGAUCUAUCGCAUUUGAUCCAAGUAAUUCAUGGUUUUGUACUGGUUCUGCAGAUCGCACAAUUAAGAUAUGGGAUGUAGGAAGUGGAAGGUUGAAGCUCACAUUGACUGGACACAUUGAACAAAUCCGAGGUCUUGCUGUCAGCCAAAGACAUACCUAUAUGUUUUCUGCUGGUGAUGACAAACAGGUGAAAUGCUGGGACCUUGAACAGAACAAGGCUGUCCGGUCUUAUCAUGGCCAUUUAAGUGGUGUCUAUUGCUUGGCUCUUCAUCCCACUAUUGACCUUUUGCUAACUGGGGGGCGUGACUCUGUUUGCCGGGUCUGGGAUGUUCGAACAAAAGUUCAAGUUUUUGCACUGUCUGGGCAUGAUAAUACAGUAUGCUCAGUUUUUACUCGACCAACGGAUCCACAAGUCGUCACUGGUUCCCAUGACACAACCAUUAAAUUCUGGGAUCUAAGAUAUGGUAAGACUAUGUUAACACUCACACACCACAAGAAAUCUGUUCGAGCCAUGGCACUGCAUCCUACUGAGAAUUGCUUUGCCUCUGCAUCAGCUGACAACAUAAAGAAAUUCAGCCUUCCAAAGGGAGAAUUCUUGCACAACAUGCUCUCUCAGCAGAAAACAAUCAUCAAUGCAAUGGCUAUCAAUGAGGAUGGUGUAAUGGUUACAGGAGGUGUGAACUAUCUCUAUAUAAAUGAAAUUGAUAAUAAUUGGUGCACUAUGAAUUAUCAUCUGAGUUCUACUUGGCGUUAUAUGUCAUGAUGUGAUAAUUGGCAUCUGGAGCUGACUAUGGAUUGCAGGCUGGGAAUAGUAAGGCCAACAUCCAGUGUCAGCCCAAGUGGUGUAAUCAUUGGCCAUAAAAGCAGGAAUUUGCCCCUCUAUAUCUUAUAAAGAUCUGAAUCACUAUGUUGGGAUUAUGUUGGUCUGUACAAUAUCAAUUCUUAAGCUGAUCCAAAUGUAGUUAGGCCUUAGGUUUGGGCUGCAGGCAACCUGGCCCCUGAUGACCAGUUGACCACUAACAAGUUUACCUAUUCCAUUUUGACUUUUUUGUAGAACAUUUGGCCUAAAGUUGAUUCAAUUUUGUUUGAAUGGAUGGGAGGAGCAAAGUCCCAUUUUGACUUAUUUUUUGUCAUUGUUUGCCCUAAAUGUUAUUGUAGGUGAUAAUGGGAGUCUGUGGUUCUGGGAUUGGAGGAGUGGUCAUAAUUUCCAGCAAGCCCAAACAAUUGUACAGCCUGGCUCAUUGGAUAGUGAAGCUGGUAUUUAUGCACUCUCAUAUGAUAUAACUGGUUCAAGGCUUGUUUCAUGUGAGGCAGACAAGACUAUUAAAAUGUGGAAAGAGGAUGAAACUGCAACCCCAGAAACUCAUCCCCUCAACUUCAAGCCACCUAAAGAUAUCCGGCGGUUCUAGUGGUGAUGUUGCUUUUUCGGUAUUUCACAGGUUGGUGAUAUAUCAUAUGAAAACAUGGCAAAUGGGGUUCUUGUUGGUCUACAUAAAUGAACAUGGGGUUAAAUAUAACUUUCUCAACAUUGAUAGAGCAGAAUCGGAUGGAACUACACAAUCGUGUUUCUGUACAAGCACGUAGCAUGAUGUAUCAAAUACCGAGUCGUUUUGUGAUCUUGAAGCUACCAAAAAGAAUGUAAAUUUUUACGUCACCCCAUGUAACUAGCAUAAAAUCCCAAAUUCGGGAACGAGAUUGUAUUAGUUGUUUCCAAGAAUUUAUGUAUUAGUGCGUUCCUUUUGAUGGAUCAAGUAGUGUGAUGAUUCAUAGUUCCUGUCUAUGAUAUUUAACUUGGAUAUUCCAACCUGAUACAGUGAUACCUUUAACUUCGCAAUUUUUUUUUUCCUAUUGAAAUU
Molecule: unclassified non-coding RNA, 2557 nt
Filed under: Hevea brasiliensis (rubber tree)
Lineage: Eukaryota; Viridiplantae; Streptophyta; Magnoliopsida; Malpighiales; Euphorbiaceae
Source: RNAcentral